ACAAUCCAGGAACAUUCACAGUGACAAUGUGAGAAACCUUACAAUGCACCUGUUCGUGUUGUACUUGCACUGCAUUUGAGAGACUACUUUCUCCAAAGUAUGUUAAAACUGGUACUUUCCACAGUAUUACAUUCAGUUUAACAGAGUUUACUUAACUUAAUAAAGCCAGUGUUCACUAAUUUAAGAUGUAGCACAAAUAAAAUGUACAGAUAAAGUCAAUUCUAAUAUUUAUCAUAGCAAUUUUAAUGAUACAAUAAAAAGCUACUGAAGCUUUCAUAUUUUUAUUUUAUUGGGGUUUUAUAUAUAGAUAUAAAACCUGCAAAGCACUUUAAAAGAAUAUC
Chrysemys picta bellii (western painted turtle) is the source of this 341-nucleotide non-coding RNA. The record is from RefSeq and is a predicted model, not a curated record. Lineage: Eukaryota; Metazoa; Chordata; Testudines; Emydidae.